GAUGAACGCUGGCGGCGUGCCUAAUACAUGCAAGUCGAGCGAACAGAUGAGGAGCUUGCUCCUCUGACGUUAGCGGCGGACGGGUGAGUAACACGUGGAUAACCUACCUAUAAGACUGGGAUAACUUCGGGAAACCGGAGCUAAUACCGGAUAAUAUAUUGAACCGCAUGGUUCAAUAGUGAAAGACGGUUUUGCUGUCACUUAUAGAUGGAUCCGCGCCGCAUUAGCUAGUUGGUAAGGUAACGGCUUAUCAAGGCAACGAUGCGUAGCCGACCUGAGAGGGUGAUCGGCCACACUGGAACUGAGACACGGUCCAGACUCCUACGGGAGGCAGCAGUAGGGAAUCUUCCGCAAUAGGCGAAAGCCUGACGGAGCAACGCCGAGUGAGUGAUGAAGGUCUUCGGAUCGUAAAACUCUGUUAUUAGGGAAGAACAAAUGUGUAAGUAACUAUGCACGGCUUGACGGUACCUAAUCAGAAAGCCACGGCUAACUACGUG
This 497-nucleotide ribosomal RNA is filed under the name uncultured bacterium. RNAcentral describes it as "partial 16S ribosomal RNA". It matches the Rfam family "Bacterial small subunit ribosomal RNA", at positions 28 to 507 of the family's 1533-position model. The record is from RNAcentral.